RNAcentral lists this ribosomal RNA (1503 nucleotides) under Porcincola intestinalis. RNAcentral describes it as "partial 23S ribosomal RNA". It matches the Rfam family "Bacterial large subunit ribosomal RNA", at positions 1 to 1525 of the family's 2925-position model. Lineage: Bacteria; Bacillati; Bacillota; Clostridia; Lachnospirales; Lachnospiraceae. The record is from RNAcentral.
AGGUUAAGCCAAUAAGAGCGCAGGGUGGAUGCCUUGGCACUAAGAGCCGAUGAAAGACGUGAUAAGCUGCGAAAAGCCGCGGGGAGGAGCAUAUAUCCCAUGAUCCGCGGAUCUCUGAAUGUGGAAACACACAUGAGCAACCCUCAUGUAUCCGUACCCCAAUCCAUAAGGUGCGGAGGGGAACCCGGUGAACUGAAACAUCUAAGUAGCCGGAGGAAAAGAAAGAAACAUCGAUACCGGGAGUAGCGGCGAGCGAAACCGGAGGAGCCCAAACCGCUGUGCGUGCAUGGCGGGGUUCGGACUGCGGAAUUGGAACGAGUCAUAGUCAAACGGUUUUGGGAAAGCCGGCCGGAGAGGGUGAAAGCCCCGUAGGCGAAAUGACGAGGGACAUGGCAGGAUCCAGAGUACACCGGGACACGAGAAACCCUGGUGGAAUGAGCGGGGACCACCCCGUAAGGCUAAAUACUCCUUAGUGACCGAUAGCGCAUAGUACUGUGAAGGAACGGUGAAAAGGACCCCGGGAGGGGAGUGAAAAAGAACCUGAAACCCUGUGUUUACAAGCAGUGGGAGGGCGAAAGCCCGACUGCGUACUUUUUGUAGAACGGUCCGGCGAGUUGCGGUGUCCGGCAAGGUUAAGCGCCAAAGGCGCGGAGCCGGAGCGAGAGCGAGUCUGAAAAGGGCGAAAGUCAGACACUGCAGACCCGAAACCGGGUGAUCUACCCAUGGCCAGGAUGAAGCUGCCGUAAGAGGCAGUGGAGGUCCGAAGCCACAUCCGUUGAAAAGGGUGGGCAUGAGCUGUGGGUAGGGGAGAAAUUCCAAUCGAACCCGGAGAUAGCUGGUUCUCCUCGAAAUAGCUUUAGGGCUAGCCUCAUGGCAGACUUAUGGAGGUAGAGCACUGAACAUCCUAGGGAGCGUCAAAGCUUACCGAAGAUCAUCAAACUGCGAAUGCCAUCAAGCCGAUCCAUGGGAGUCAGACCGCACGAGAUAAGUUGGGUGGUCAAAAGGGAAAGAGCCCAGACCUCCGGCUAAGGUCCCAAAGUGUGUGUUAAGUGGUAAAGGAUGUGGGAUUUCGAAGACAACCAGGACGUUGGCUCAGAAGCAGCCAUACAUUGAAAGAGUGCGUAACAGCUCACUGGUCGAGAGGUCCUGCGCCGAAAAUUUCCGGGGCUGAAACACACCACCGAAGCUGAGGAACCGCGAAAGCGGCUGGUAGAGGAGCAUUGGAUGCUUAAAGAAGCGGUACCGGCAAGGAGCCGUGGAGAGCAUCGAAGAGAGAAUGCCGGAAUGAGUAGCGAGAGAUAGGUGAGAAUCCUAUCGGCCGAAUAUCCAAGGUUUCCAGAGUAAAGCUGAUCUGCUCUGGGGAAGUCGGGACCUAAGGCGAGGUCGAAAGACGUAGCCGAUGGACAGCAGGCAGAGAUUCCUGCACUGGCGGAUAUCAGAACUGCGGGGACGCAGGGCGGAAGGAUGAGCGCGGAAUGAAGAGACGCGUACAAGCAGAAGAGG